Molecule: long non-coding RNA, 916 nt
Organism: Pipistrellus kuhlii (Kuhl's pipistrelle)
Lineage: Eukaryota; Metazoa; Chordata; Mammalia; Chiroptera; Vespertilionidae
Exons: 3
Source: RefSeq, a predicted model, not a curated record
CGCCAGUGGCGUUCACGUCAGGCCACGCCCCUAGCGGUCUGGGCCAAUCAGAGGCGCGGAGCUCCAGUUUAGUCACCGCAGAGGCUCUGCAAGCCUCUGGACCAGAGGAGCGCGCUGGCCUUUGCCGGACCCUCGGACGCUACAGAGGUGAUUCGAGAAUCACCAGAGCUUGGCCUGUCCUGUUGCUGUAGGAACAGCCUGCGGCCUUCUUUCCUGAUCCCCAGCUCCGGUGGCUGCCCCAAUUUCCGAUACAGAUGCUCAGAAUGCGCGUCCGGGGCCCCCUGCCCAUGGGCAGACCCCCCUUUAUAAAGCCGAGUUUGCGCCUGUGCCUCUCUAAUAGAUUCAGCUUCCAGGGCAGGGAUCGUAUCUUUUUUGCCUUUGCAUUCCUAACGCCUAGCACACCUAAUAUAAGACAGGGAUCAGAAAUGAGGAGAUCCAUACCCACCAAAAUAAGGAGAUUCAAAGUGGGAGCCAAUAUGGGAGCAAAAAUGAUACCCUUCCAUUUGGACAGACUACAGAGGCUGGACAGUAUAGUAUAAUAGAAUGCCAAGAACCAUCAUUUACUAAAAGCUUGCAGAUGUUGGGAAGUGUGUGUGAAUUGCCCCAUCUAAUGCAACUCUGUGAGGUAUGUCCUCUUAUUCUUGUUUUACAGGUUAGAAAACAGAGCCACUGAAUCGAAGCAGCUGAUGCUUGGGUUGUUUCCAAUCUUUUUGGGGGAUGGGUGACUGUAAGCUCAUGUACCAGUGGAACAGCUUAGCUGAUGAGCAUACAGUCCACACUGCAGGGGCAGCAGAGUAAGGAGCUGGAAGUAGAACUCGUCCUUCUCAGGCCUCCGUGGAGCAGAACUCCCAAACUAGCCUGGACCUUUGGACUUCAUGCAGCUGCAAGCAAAAUAAACAUAAGUCCUCUUUAAGCC